Molecule: ribosomal RNA, 492 nt
Filed under: uncultured bacterium
Lineage: Bacteria
Description: partial 16S ribosomal RNA
Rfam family: Bacterial small subunit ribosomal RNA
Source: RNAcentral
AGUGAACGCUGGCGGUAGGCCUAACACAUGCAAGUCGAACGGCAGCACAGUAAGAGCUUGCUCUUACGGGUGGCGAGUGGCGGACGGGUGAGGAAUACAUCGGAAUCUACUUUUUCGUGGGGGAUAACGUAGGGAAACUUACGCUAAUACCGCAUACGACCUACGGGUGAAAGCAGGGGAUCUUCGGACCUUGCGCGAUUGAAUGAGCCGAUGUCGGAUUAGCUAGUUGGCGGGGUAAAGGCCCACCAAGGCGACGAUCCGUAGCUGGUCUGAGAGGAUGAUCAGCCACACUGGAACUGAGACACGGUCCAGACUCCUACGGGAGGCAGCAGUGGGGAAUAUUGGACAAUGGGCGCAUGCCUGAUCCAGCCAUACCGCGUGGGUGAAGAAGGCCUUCGGGUUGUAAAGCCCUUUUGUUGGGAAAGAAAAGCAGCAGGUUAAUACCCCGCUGUUCUGACGGUACCCAAAGAAUAAGCACCGGCUAACUUCGUG